GGAGUGUUGAAGACGCCAGUACAGUAGCAGCUGUGACACCUCAGGGCAAUGGAAGAGAGAAAAAGGGAAAAUUUUAAAGACGUAUUCAUAUUGCAUGAAUCUCCUUCACGGUGUUAGAAAAUGCAAAGGGCUCGAGUUCUUCAGACGUCACUUUCUGGUGGCUGAGCGCAGUUUCUGUGAUGGUGGCAGCCCUUUGCAACAGGAUUGGUCGCCCAGGGUGACCGACGCUGGAAAGGCAGCUCUUUCAGAGGAAGAGGUGAGGAGACUGGCCGAGGGAAGGAGAGCGGAAGAGGGAUGACCUUGGGACGUGCACACAGCAGCCGGCCAGCCAGCGCCCUUUCCCACGAUGGACGCCCGUCUAAGAUCUGUCUGCCUCCUGGGUCCCCUUGAAGAAGUGACUGCCUAGAUUGCAUUCAGACUAGCAAAGGAUGUUGCUUCCUCAUCCGUGGAGGUUUAAAGUCGAGUGGUCUUACGUCUCACGGUAUCUGCACAGCCCUGCUCCUUCGGCUUCUGUUGAAGGGACGAUGCUUGAAUGGCGGGUGAUUGCUCCUACCUUCAGAUCCGCUCUCCAUCCCUUCCACCCUGGAAACUAACUUCCAGGGACUCUCUCAGUGGCUUCCUUGCCUUUCAG
This 631-nucleotide long non-coding RNA is filed under the name Equus asinus (donkey). Its description in RNAcentral is "lncRNA (ENSEASG00005024238.1)". The record is from RNAcentral. Lineage: Eukaryota; Metazoa; Chordata; Mammalia; Perissodactyla; Equidae.